RNAcentral lists this ribosomal RNA (468 nucleotides) under uncultured bacterium. Its description in RNAcentral is "partial 16S ribosomal RNA". It matches the Rfam family "Bacterial small subunit ribosomal RNA", at positions 28 to 507 of the family's 1533-position model. The record is from RNAcentral.
GACGAACGCUGGCGGCGUGCUUAAUACAUGCAAGUCGAACGGACAGGCCCUGAUCUUGUGGGGUGCUCGAGUGGCGAGCGGGUGUGUAUCACGUGUGUAUCAUGCACUUGUCUUUGGGGUAACUUCUGGAAAAUCGGGCUCAUAUCGGAUAGGAGCUCUUGAUGCAUGGUGGGGGUUGGAAAAUUUCGGCGGUUGGGGAUGGAAUCGAAGCUUACGAGCUUGAUGGUGGGGUAGUGGCAUACCAGGGCUACGACGGAUAGCCGGCCUGGGAGGGUGGCCGGCCACAAUGGUCCUAAGGUACGGCCCAGACUGCAACGGGAGGCAGCAGUGGGGAAUAUGGCACAACGGGCGGAAGCCUGAGGCGGCAACGCCGCGUGCGGGAUAACGGGCUUCGAGGUGUAAACCGCUUUCGCCUGUGACGAAGCGUGAGUGACGGUAAUGGGUAAAAAAGCACCGGCUAACUACGUG